Crotalus tigris (Tiger rattlesnake) is the source of this 645-nucleotide long non-coding RNA. RefSeq lists it as uncharacterized. The record is from RefSeq and is a predicted model, not a curated record. NCBI's taxonomy places the organism in Eukaryota, Metazoa, Chordata, Lepidosauria, Squamata, Viperidae. The transcript has 4 exons.
CUUAAUAUGAAACCUUUUUCAUAAAUAUUGUGUAAUAGCACAAGUGUUUUUCCAUAAAAAUACAGAACAAGAGGAGACAAAACAAAUUAGAGAAAAACAUCUGGAAAAGAUGGCAGAGAAAAAUGUCACAGUCAGAGAUGCUGCCAAUGAAGAAGGAGCGUGGAGUGAUUGCGAGAAAUGUAAAAAACUGGCAGAAGAAAUCCAGAGGUUCCAGAAAGAAAUAGAGAAACUGAAAAUUAUUCUUCUGGAACCUCUGAUAAAAAAUAAGACUGUGCGGAAAAGCACCUUGGUAUCAGGAGCCACAAAGUAAAUUUUGCUGAAGGACAGUGUCAGAGUCCCCAAAGAAAUAUAUUCUUUUCUCUUCCUGUGCUUUGCUUGCCUUUAUAACCAUUCUUUGUGGCCUGCCAUUCUGUUGAGAGGGGGGAUGCUCUGGGAUGCCUUACACUGUCUUGCUGCUGUACCCUUUCCCCAGGAGAAGGAAUGCAUCUCCCUUAUCUGGGUGACGGUUGGUGCCUAGAACCAGAAGGAAACGAAAGUGAGAGAGACCUUGAAGAAGCGGGCCAACGGAGCCAGUUACCAAAACACUAUUCCACCUAUGGAUUGGCUGGAAUUCAAAUGGACACUGGGACUCUGAGGGGAGGAGUA